CUUCGGGAAACCGGAGCUAAUACCGGAUAAUAUGUUGAACCGCAUGGUUCAAUAGUGAAAGACGGUUUUGCUGUCACUUAUAGAUGGAUCCGCGCCGCAUUAGCUAGUUGGUAAGGUAACGGCUUACCAAGGCAACGAUGCGUAGCCGACCUGAGAGGGUGAUCGGCCACACUGGAACUGAGACACGGUCCAG
RNAcentral lists this ribosomal RNA (193 nucleotides) under uncultured Staphylococcus sp. RNAcentral's name for it is "partial 16S ribosomal RNA". It matches the Rfam family "Bacterial small subunit ribosomal RNA", at positions 147 to 334 of the family's 1533-position model. Lineage: Bacteria; Bacillati; Bacillota; Bacilli; Caryophanales; Staphylococcaceae. The record is from RNAcentral.